RNAcentral lists this ribosomal RNA (468 nucleotides) under uncultured bacterium. RNAcentral describes it as "partial 16S ribosomal RNA". It matches the Rfam family "Bacterial small subunit ribosomal RNA", at positions 28 to 507 of the family's 1533-position model. The record is from RNAcentral.
GACGAACGCUGGCGGCGUGCUUAACACAUGCAAGUCGAACGGAAAGGCGCUGCGCUUGUUGGGUGCUCGAGUGGCGAGGGGGGGAGUAACACGUGAGUAACAUGCCCUUAACUUUGGGAUAACUUUAGGAAACUGGGGCUAAUAUCGGAGAGGAGCUCCUGCAGCAUGGGGGGGGAUGGAAAGUGUCGGCCGUGGGGGAUGGACUCGCGGCUUAUCAGCUUGUUGGUGGGGUAGUGGCUUACCAGGGCUUUGACGGGUAGCCCGCCUGAGAGGGUGACCGGCCACAUGGCGCCUGCGAUACGGCCCAGUCUCCUACGGGAGGCAGUAGUGGGGAAUAUUGCACAAUGGGCGCAAGCCUGUGGCAGCAACGCUCCGUGCGGGAUGACGGCCUUCGAGUUGUAAACCGCUGUCGCCGUAGCCAAAGCGUUAUUGACGGUAAUGGGUAAAGAAGCACCGGCUAACUACGUG